Molecule: long non-coding RNA, 433 nt
Organism: Amphimedon queenslandica
Lineage: Eukaryota; Metazoa; Porifera; Demospongiae; Haplosclerida; Niphatidae
Exons: 2
Source: RefSeq, a predicted model, not a curated record
GGAUUGGAUACUUUGGCCCUGGAUCAGGCAGUAUUGUAAUGGCUGAUGUACAAUGUAAUGGGACUGAAGAUCUAUUAGUUAAUUGUCUCCAUUAUACUACUCAUCAAUGUAGUUACAGUCAAGAUGCUGGAGUCACUUGUAUAUCUUCAAGUUUGGCUCAUACAAGUUCAAAAAGCUUUUGACUACAGCUACAGCUAAUGAUGACUAUGAUGAUGGAGACGAUGAUGAUCACGACUCUUAUGAUGAAUAAGGAAAAGGUUUUUAUAACACAACUUCUUUACUUUAUUAUAAAUUUGCAUACUAAUUUUGCCAUUUUAUAUCCACACAUUUCUUUAUUAUUUUGCUGCUGGUCCAAAAAUAUUUUAGAUAAUUACUGUUAAUAAGUUGAUGUUGAUAGUUUGUUUAUAAGUUAAUAGCUCUCUAGUCUAUAAUA